Molecule: ribosomal RNA, 904 nt
Filed under: uncultured bacterium
Lineage: Bacteria
Description: partial 16S ribosomal RNA
Rfam family: Bacterial small subunit ribosomal RNA
Source: RNAcentral
AGAGUUUGAUCCUGGCUCAGGAUGAACGCUAGCGGGAGGCUUAACACAUGCAAGUCGAGCGGGAUUAGCAGCAAUGCUAUGAGAGCGGCGGACGGGUGCGUAACGCGUAUGCAACCUGCCUUAUACAGGGGAAUAGCCCAUGGAAACGUGGAUUAAAGUCCCAUAGGAUGACGAUAUCGCAUGGUAUUGUGAUUAAAACUGAGGUGGUAUAAGAUGGGCAUGCGUCUGAUUAGGUAGUUGGUGAGGUAAUGGCUCACCAAGCCGACGAUCAGUAGGGGUUCUGAGAGGAUUACCCCCCACACUGGUACUGAGACACGGACCAGACUCCUACGGGAGGCAGCAGUGAGGAAUAUUGGUCAAUGGCCGGAAGGCUGGACCAGCCAUCCCGCGUGCAGGAUGACGGCCCUAUGGGUUGUAAACUGCUUUUGUACCUGAAGAAUAGGCCCAACGAGUUGGGAUUUGCCGGUAAGGUAUGAAUAAGSAUCGGCUAACUCCGUGCCAGCAGCCGCGGUAAUACGGAGGAUSCGAGCGUUAUCCGGAUUYAYUGGGUUUAAAGGGUGCGYAGGYKGGAAAAUAAGUCAGYGGUGAAAUACWGCSGCUYAACSGUWGRAUUGCCRUUGAWACUGUUUUUCUUGRRUWYGGUYGAGGUWGGYGGAAUGYGUKGUGUAGCGGUGAAAUGCWUAGAUAUSACRCRGARCGCCGAUUGCGAAGGCAGCUUACYAAGCCAUUACUGACGCUGAGGCACGAAAGCGUGGGGAUCGAACAGGAUUAGAUACCCUGGUAGUCCACGCCGUAAACGAUGAUCACUCGCUGUUUGCGAUAUACAGCAAGCGGCUGAGCGAAAGCAUUAAGUGAUCCACCUGGGGAGUACGAUCGCAAGGUUGAAACUCAAAGGAAUUGACGG